CACGUAGGGGGCGAGCGUUGUCCGGAUUUAUUGGGCGUAAAGAGCUCGUAGGCGGCUCAGUAAGUCAGGUGUGAAAACUCCAGGCUCAACCUGGAGACGCCACCUGAUACUGCUGUGGCUAGAGUCCGGUAGGGGAGCAUGGAAUUCCUGGUGUAGCGGUGAAAUGCGCAGAUAUCAGGAGGAACACCGGUGGCGAAGGCGGGUCUCUGGGCCGAUACUGACGCUGAGGAGCGAAAGCGUGGGGAGCAAACAGG
Molecule: ribosomal RNA, 254 nt
Filed under: uncultured bacterium
Lineage: Bacteria
Description: partial 16S ribosomal RNA
Rfam family: Bacterial small subunit ribosomal RNA
Source: RNAcentral